GUGAGACCUAAAUCAACUACUACAAUAUUACAUUAUUUUGUUGUUGCUUAAUUUAUAUACAUCUAUGAUUUAGUGUAUCAUAAGAAAUCAAUGCUCCAAUAUAUUUAAUUUUUCAUACGCACAUUCCAUUGUACUAAAUGACAUCAAGAUUUGUUUUGAUGUUUGUGAUUUUGGGUUGUUGUCUGACUGCUGUUUUGCAGCACCACAAUUCUUUUAUUUUUUCAAUGUAUUGUCAUUUGUUUAAAGGCUUAUGAUCUGUUUAAUAAUGCUUUCUCCUAUAAUACUAUUGUUAGGGUUGUAUGUAUAUUUAAUCACUUGCAAUGAGUAUAUAUUGUUUAGACUUAUCCUGUUAUUUUACAUUCCAGUGUUUAGAUUUACUAUUUUUUUUAUACACCACCAAGUUAUUUAUACGACUAAAAUAUCAUGGCAUAAAGGAUUCAUAAGAAUUAAAAGAUUCCAGAUGGUUUUUGGAAAGAUUGGAACUUGUUCUAAAUCUUUCCUUAGGCACUGGCCUCCCUAACAACACGACAGGUUAGCUACUAUUACUAAAUGUAUUUACACUGAAAUAUAGUUCCCUAUAGUUCUCAUGUAUGUGCACAUAAUAUACAUAUAUAAACUGUAAAAAAAUGGGUUUUAUUUUUGGAGCAGUUCAUUCAAGAAUGUAUGUCAUUAAGGUGUUUUGAUGGAAAGGCUUUUUUAAAAUAUUUUGAUUAGGUCAUUGAGUAUUGAUACAAUACUAGAUUAUUGACAACUGUCAUUAUCAUCAACCAUUCAGGGACAAGGUGGACCUUUAAUUGAAAUGCCCCACCUCCUAAAUGGUCAAUCAAAUUGACCACAUUACUUAUCAACCUCAAUCUUACAUAAUUAUAUAGACCAUUUAAUAUACAUCCCAAUACACAAAUAUCAAUGAAUAUUUAACCUAAUAAUUGAAUACACAAAUGUAUAUAUUAGAUGUUUGAUAAAUAAG
This 967-nucleotide long non-coding RNA is filed under the name Mytilus galloprovincialis (Mediterranean mussel). Lineage: Eukaryota; Metazoa; Mollusca; Bivalvia; Mytilida; Mytilidae. The record is from RNAcentral.